CUGAAAUCUAUAUAAUUCUUGCCAGAAAGGCUCUGAAACCUUGAGUAAGACCUGUUUAGGUAUUUUAUAAGCUAAAUUACCAUUAAUUUAAUGCUAAUAAUGUAAAUAUAUAGUAAACUAGUUGUAAUGCCUAAAAACAUGAGAUGUUAAAUUCAUAUGAAGUCAUGGAACUCAAAAAUUGCUUAAUAAUUUAAUAAUCUACCUGAAGAAUUAUAUAAUAAACUCCAUGAAGAAACCGCACAGACAUAACCUCAAAAAUAUAUGCCAUAUACAAUAAACUAGUUUUAAUGGCCAAAUAUUUUGGUUGUAUUAUAUGCAGUUAAGUUCAUAGCAAGUAAUGACACUCACAGAUUCAUUUAUAAUUCAAUCAGAACACCAAACAUCAAGCUAAAUAUAUAAUAAAGGAGCUCUAAUAUUUUGGUUGAAUUGCAGUAAAAAUGUGUAUAUUGCUGCACAGCAACCCUGAAGAUGAUACUAAUUAAUGUACAAAGGAAUACAGGUUUAUAUGGAAGUUUAUAUAAAACCUUAGACUAUUCCCUGACAAGUUGUUUAAGGAACAGUAAAAGAAUGUUCUGAGCUUUAAGGAAAUUGUUCCUGGAAUGUUUGUUUACGGAUAUCCUUGGUAUCAUUGCUAUUGACAAUCCCUGAAUAGACCAGGAGUGUUUAUUUUUCUCAAUACACACUUUGAACAUAUUAUACAGAAAAUCUGACGCCACUGAGUCAUACAAACAGGGGAAAAGUCACUUUUUUAACUAAGUACUUUCUUAGCAGAUAACAGUGGUAGUACAUAUGACAUCAUUCCUUUAUUCCAGGAAUAUUUAAAUUGCUUCUGACACAGAUCAUACCCUAAAUGAUCAAAAUAUUCGCUUAUAAAGCAAUUUCGGGAAAACUCCUUCCUUAAAUCAGAAGAAAUUUAUAAUUUUUUUUGUCUAUCCCCUAAUAACAAAUUGUUUAAGGAACAUUAACAGAAUGUUCUGAGCCUUGUAGAAAUUGUUAUUGGAAUGUUUCUUUCAGAAUAAACUUGGAAUCUUAGUUUAGGAGGUAACAGUGAUGACCUAGAACAUGACAUUCAAUGAUCCUGGAUAAUUCAUGAGAUAAAUUGUGCUAUAAGGGUUAGUAUCAUUAGAACAAUGAUACAUGCAUAUAUUGUUCAAAAAAAGGAAGACUUAAUAUAAUUAAAUUAAGUUAAACAUUUUUGGCGCCCAACAUAAAACUUUUGGCACCCAAUAACUAACUUCAGAGGAAAAUCUACAUGAUCAGUGGGUUAUGCAAAAACGAUUUGUCUCCAUAAAUCGCUACAGUAACUAUUCCUCCACCAAAUAAAACGGUUUAUAGUGCCUGGACUUACAUUGUAA
Anthonomus grandis grandis is the source of this 1355-nucleotide long non-coding RNA. RefSeq lists it as uncharacterized. The transcript has 5 exons. The record is from RefSeq and is a predicted model, not a curated record. NCBI's taxonomy places the organism in Eukaryota, Metazoa, Arthropoda, Insecta, Coleoptera, Curculionidae.